UACAGAGGUCUCAAGCGUUGUUCGGAUUCAUUGGGCGUAAAGAGUGUGUAGGCGGUGCUCUAAGUCUGUUGUGAAAUCUCCCGGCUUAACCGGGAGGGUGCGGCGGAAACUGGAUGGCUUGAGUGUGGGAGAGGGAUGCGGAAUUCCAGGUGUAGCGGUGAAAUGCGUAGAUAUCUGGAGGAACACCGGUGGCGAAGGCGGCAUCCUGGACCAUUACUGACACUGAAUAGCGAAAGCCAGGGGAGCAAACGGG
This 253-nucleotide ribosomal RNA is filed under the name uncultured bacterium. RNAcentral describes it as "partial 16S ribosomal RNA". It matches the Rfam family "Bacterial small subunit ribosomal RNA", at positions 524 to 776 of the family's 1533-position model. The record is from RNAcentral.